ACUCAAAUGAAUAGACGGGGGCUCACACAAGCGGUGGAGCAUGUGGCUUAAUUCGAAGCAACGCGAAGAACCUUAUCCAAGGCUUGACAUGCACGGAUUAGUUGGAUGAAAGUUCAAUGACACUCGCAAGAGUGGAACGUGCACAGGUGCUGCAUGGCUGUCGUCAGCUCGUGCUGUGAAGUGUCGCGUUAAGUCGCUUAACGAGCGAAACCCCUAUCAUUAGUUGCCAGCGGGUAAUGCCGGGGACUCUAAUGAGACUGCCGGUGUCAAACCGGAGGAAGGUGGGGAUGACGUCAAGUCCUCAUGGCCUUUAUGCCUUGGGCUGCACACGUGCUACAAUGCGGCCGACAAUGCGACGCAAGACCGUAAGGUGGAGCAAAUCGCAAAAAAGGUCGCCCAGUUCAGAUUGAGGUCUGCAACCCGACCUCAUGAAGUUGGAAUCGCUAGUAAUCGGGGAUCAGCUACGCCCCGGUGAAUAUGUUCCUGAGCCUUGUACACACCGCCCGU
RNAcentral lists this ribosomal RNA (507 nucleotides) under uncultured bacterium. RNAcentral's name for it is "partial 16S ribosomal RNA". It matches the Rfam family "Bacterial small subunit ribosomal RNA", at positions 899 to 1397 of the family's 1533-position model. The record is from RNAcentral.